AUACUUUUGUGAGCCAAAAAGUGGACUAACAAGUUUCUUUCUUGAUGAUUCUUCCUCCAACAUCUUCAUCAUCAGUUUCGGUAUCUUCAGCAUCAGAUUCCAUAACUACCUUGUUAAGAAAGCUUUCCUUUUCUUCUUCCUCGCUGAAUUCCAUUGAGUCAUAUCCCAUAACCUUUCUUGUUAGCUCUUCCUUCAAAUAAGUACCACUCUCAUGAAUCGAAGCUUUGGCCUUAAACAAGUAGAUCGACGUCUGCUAGAAAGAAGGUCUUAAAAGUGAAAAGAAGAAAAGGUUAGGGAGCAAAUCUGAAGCUUCUACCUUUAAUAUAUCAAAAUGUCAAACAUAACCUUAUUGCUUUUAUUCUUUCCUUUUUUAUUCUUUCCUUUUGCCAUUGUUAGUUGAGCUAGAGUACACAUGAAAGUGGCAAAACUUGUUCUAAACUUUGAAAACUAUAGAAUUUGUUACUGAAAAUUCUUAGUUUCUCUGUUUCAUAAUAUCUGUUAUGUUCUUUUACAAAGAUUCAAAAUCCAUUAAAUAUUGAGUAUACACAUAUUAUUACAUAUAACAAAUAACUUUAAUAUUUAUAUAUUGCCACUCUAAAGUUUUUACAUAAUAUAUCAUUCAUUAUUCAUUUAUAUUACUAUUGUUAUUUAAGAGUUAAUAAUAAUUAUCAUAUAUAUAGUAGAUAAUGCAUUAACAAUAUAAAAAUACUUAGGUGCAUACAUAUUAAUUCCAUAACUAUUUACGUUAGAAAGUAUAUUUUGGGAUAUAAUAUAACAUCUAUGCAAUAUUGAUAUAAAAAUUUAUAUAUAAUCAAUACAUCAAUUUCACUUAUAUCGCAUAUAUUUAAAAGUCAUUAAUGAUCAAAUACAAUUUAUAAUUGAAACAAUAAUAAGAUAAAAUUUUCUUUCCACUAUUAGUAGAUAUAUUUUUCUUUCCCUAUUAUACAUGAGAAUUCAUAUGAGCAAAACACAUUAUUGUUAGACAAACAAAUAAAUAAAAAAAAUUGUUUUUUCGCAAUUAAAUAAUUAAAGACAUAACUAAAAAAGUUAGGAUAUAUACUAACUAGUUCAUGUAAUCAAUGAAGAUACCAUCUUAGUAUAGGCGAACCAGAGCAUAACAAACCAACAAUUUUCAAAUUUAGACAAAAAAGAGGGUUAUAUGUGUUUUGUGUCUAAAAAUAUAAUGACGACUUCAUUUUUCUUUAAGAAUAAUGGAAGAUAUUCUAGCUCUCUUCCCAUUUUGUGUCCAUAAAUCGGAUCAAGAUGCUAUCCAAACUACCAUUUUAACCAAAGUAAAUUCAACCAUCCCUAGUUAGUUGAAUGUGUCAAAGUUGUUGGUAAUUUACCUUAUAUUUAGGAAGAAGUUGUUUGUUGUUAUUUGUGAUCACGUAAGACUGCUGCUAUCUUUUAGGAGUUUUAGUUGAGUUAGGAGUCUAUUUAAAUUGUUCUUUUCAGUUGUUAUGAUGUGUGAAUUUUAUUUAUUGAUUCAAUAAAAUUAUAUUUGCUUAUAUUUCCUUUAUUUGUCAUCCUACCUUCUAAUUUACACGUGGUAUCAGAGCUAGGUUCAGAAAACCCCUUUCCAACCCCAUUCAAAUGACCAAAAAUAAUAAUUUUGUUCAGCCUUCAAUACAUCGCUUUGAUGGGCACUAUUAUGAUCAUUGGAGCAUGUCAAUGGAGAACUUCAUAAGGUCCAAGGAGUAUUGAGCUAUAGAAUCAGGAUAUCUUGAUUUAGUUGCAGGUGCAACUAAGGUGCAAAAGUUUGAGGCAGACAACUUGAAGUUGAAGGAUUUGAAUGCCAAAAACUAUCUCUUCCAAGCUAUUGAUAGAGUUGUGCUUGAGACUAUCUUGCACAAGGAGACAUAAAAGCAGAUUUGAGAUUCUCUAAAGAAGAAAUUCCAAGGAAAUGCUAGAGCCUAGAGGCAAAAUUGAAGAUCACCCUAAACCCUAAACUUUGUAUCCUAAAAGAAAUAAUUGAAGGAUCUACUUAAAAAUUCUUAAUUAGUCUAUUUUAUGGUAUCUUUUUUUCAUCAUGUUGAUAAUAGAAGAAGAAAGAAAAAUAUUAGAUGUUUAAACGUCACUUCAAAGAACGAGAUGAGGAUCGUUUUUUACAAUAAAACAAUAUCAAAUAAAGGAGUCACUAUCAUUGAAAAUGUAUUGAGAUCCUUGACCACACAAUUUAAUUUUGUUGUUGCAGCCAUAUAAGAAUCACAUGAUCUGGAUGAGAUGACAAUUGAUGAGUUGCAAAACUCAUAACAUAUUCAUGAGCAGAAAAUUGAAAGACAAGAUAAGGAUGGGCAUUUUUUGCAGGCUCAAACACAAGCUUUGCAAGUCUUAACCAAGCCAUGUAAUGGUUCAUGGAAAGGGAAAGGUAGCAAGGAAAUUAAGGGAAAUCAAGAUGGUCACGAGAGAAGCAAAAAGGAGCAACCAGUAAAGGAAAAUCCAAAGUACACAUUAAGUGCCUUCGUUGUCACAGAUUUGGCCAUUAUAAGUCAAAAUGUAGGACCAAUAUGAGCAAAAAAGAGAAAGCAAAUUAUGUUGAGCAAGAUGAGAAAGAAGAUGGGACCUCUUUAUUGAUGGUGUGCCAUACCGGAGAAGAAAAUACCAAGAAAGUGUGUUAUUUAGACACCGGGUGUAGCAAUCACAUGUGUGGAGAUAAGCAGAUUUUCACCGAGCUUGAUGAAACUCUCAGUGACACAGUAAAGUUUGGUGAUCAUUCAACCAUGGAAGUUAAAGGCAAAGGUAAAAUCAGUAUUCAAACAAAAUCAGGUCAGAACAAUCUAUUCAAAAUAUUUUGUUCCUGACCUGAUUUGAAAACUAACUUACUAAGUAUUGGACAACUACAAGAUAAAGACUAUGAAAUUAUGAUAACAAAUGCAGUAUGUCAGUGAAAGAUGUUGAGAUAGCACUGAUUUUACAAGCGAAGAUGACCAACAACAAGAUGUUUCUUGCUUAUUUGCAGAAUUCAAAGUUUAAUUCCUUAGUGGCUAAACAAGAGAGCUUGGCUUGGCUUUGGCACAAUAGAUUUGGCCAUUUACAUUUUGGAGGAUUACAACAAAAGAAUAUGGUAAGAGCACUUCCCAAAAUUGAAUUGCCUUCACGUGUUUGUGAAGAAUGCAUUACCGAUAAAGAACGCAAAGAUGCAUUUCCAAAAGGGGAAGCUAGGAGAGCUCAAAAUAUACUAAAAUUGGUGCAUACAAAUCUUUGUGGACCAGUUACUCCUGAAUCCAAUGGAGGUAAACAUUAUUUUAUAACAUUUAUUAAUGACUUUAGUCAAAAGAAAAAGUGCUAUUUUUUACAGAAUAAAUCAAAAGCAUUUCAAGCAUUCAAACAAUUUAAGAUGCUUGUUGAAAAAGAAUAUAAUUGGUUCAUUAGGAUGUUUAGAUUUGACUGAGGAUGAGAAUUUAACUCUUCUGAAUUGAUAAAAUUUUGUGAAGCUAAUGGCAUCAAAAGGCAGCUUACAAGCUCUUGUACACUGUGAAUACCCACUUUUGUCAGUCCUGUUUUCAACGUUUAAAAUAGACUCCGGUGUAUAUUUAUUAGAGUUAUUUUGUGUAAUAUCAAUAUGUAUGAUGUUAAAGUUUGUGUAUAACAGUACAAAUAUAUAUAUAUAUAUAUAUAUAUAAAUUACAAACAUUGAAAUUUCAUGAACACUUACUUUCCUUGUAAUGAACAAACAAAAAACAACAGCUAAAUCAAACAAUAUCAUGUUAAUCCUCAAAGCUUAAUCGCAAUCAUACCAAUAAUUAAGUAGAAGCAAUUUGGAAUUAUCAACCAGUGAGUUAACUCAAAAAUAGUGUUCACUCUUUAACUUAUCAACUAAAACACUCAUAUAAUAUCCAUCAUUAUCCGAUCUAGUAAACCUGGAAAAAAAUAAAAUAAAAGAAAGGGGACCCCUGAAUUAUCUAACCACCGUGAGACCACUGAAACUGCACCGAUGACAACCGGAGAAGAUGAAGAAGAAAACAGAGAAGCCAACUUGUUCCAGUGCCCCUAACCACCGUGAAACCAGGGUGUUACGUCAAAAAUCAUGCCGGCGUGUCAACCGGAGAAGAAGAAGGAAGGACGGUGGUUCAAGGAACCGUCAUCCUCACCCCGCCGUCGGAACCACGGAGGCUCCACCUCCAUGGCUAAGCCAUAUCCAGGCAGAGACGUGCCACCUCGCAGUCGAGUGGACUCAAGAUCGUAAAGUUGUGACCACCACCGUAAGGGGCGUUGUUUCUUCUGUUAUCUCCAUCGUCCCUUCACCCAGCAGCAUCCCCAUCACCAAAGGCUCUUGGCGGCUCAAUGAAGAAGAGAAUCUCUUUACCCUAUUUCUCCCAAACAAUGAACCUGAUUAUACAAAAUAUGAGCCUCUAAUUUUUACCCAACCUAAUUUGCUUCCCCUUGGGCCUUUUCUUUUUCGUUUUAAGCAUUAAAGCCCAU
RNAcentral lists this long non-coding RNA (4422 nucleotides) under Lupinus angustifolius (narrow-leaved blue lupine). RNAcentral describes it as "long non-coding RNA (LANG_LNC002585)". The record is from RNAcentral. Lineage: Eukaryota; Viridiplantae; Streptophyta; Magnoliopsida; Fabales; Fabaceae.